AAGGUUUCCAGGGGAAGGUUCGUCCGCCCUGGGUUAGUCGGGACCUAAGCUGAGGCCGAAAGGCGUAGGUGAUGGACAACAGGUUGAUAUUCCUGUACUACCGAUAACCGUUUGAGAGAUGGUAUGACACAGUAGGAUAAGCUAAGCACACUGUUGGUUAUGUGUGCCCAAGCAUUGAGGCAGUCAGAGUAGGUAAAUCCGCUUUGAUAAUGCUGGGAUGUGAUGGGGAGCGAAAUUUAGUAGCGAAGUA
This 250-nucleotide ribosomal RNA is filed under the name Clostridioides difficile. RNAcentral describes it as "partial 23S ribosomal RNA". It matches the Rfam family "Bacterial large subunit ribosomal RNA", at positions 1347 to 1592 of the family's 2925-position model. Lineage: Bacteria; Bacillati; Bacillota; Clostridia; Peptostreptococcales; Peptostreptococcaceae. The record is from RNAcentral.